This is a non-coding RNA of Phlebotomus papatasi, 212 nucleotides long. NCBI's taxonomy places the organism in Eukaryota, Metazoa, Arthropoda, Insecta, Diptera, Psychodidae. The record is from Rfam.
AAGACUAUACUUCACAGGAUCAUUUCUGUAGUACGUCUUCACCAAUGGUGUUUCCAACUUGGAGACAUUAAGCAACCACGAUGAUGAGGCAUAGUGCCUUGUCCAGAGCGUGAAAGGGGCUCUGAAGUUGUAUCUCGGUACAAUCUCAAAGCCAUUGAGGAUCGCAACUCCGGGUAUUCCCGGAGUAAUGGACAAGGUGCAAGCUGAGUGGU